GCUUUCAUUUUGGGUUGACAGAAAGUCAGUCCUUCCCAUCCUGAGUGAAACGAAUGGGAAAAUAUGAGUCGGAAGUGCUGGAUUUUACUCCUCCCUUACCAUUGUUUCUGAGACCACAAAUUACUUCAGCCUCUCUGAGAUCUGGAAAAUGGAAAGAGCGAUUUACUUAUCUCUCUGAGCUUGUCUGAUCCCAGUGAAACAAUCUCCCAGUAAGAAGAAAAUCAUCAUCAUUUUAGAAAAUUUAGAAAAAUCUUCACUGUCGGAGUUAUUGAGGGACUUUUUGGCACCUCUUGAAAAUCGCAGCACUGAAAGCCCCUGCACUUUCCAAAAAGGAAAUGGACUGUCCGAAUGUUAUUACUUUCAUGAGAACUGCUUUCUGAUGGGAACCAUCGCCAAGGCCUGUCUCCAGGGCUCCGACUUGCUGGUGCAGCAGCAUUUCCGCUGGGUGCAGCUGCGGUGGGAUGGCGAGCCCAUGCAAGGACUGCUGCAGAGGUUCUUACGAAGGAAAGUUGU
This 513-nucleotide long non-coding RNA is filed under the name Homo sapiens (human). RNAcentral describes it as "HSALNT0127848". Lineage: Eukaryota; Metazoa; Chordata; Mammalia; Primates; Hominidae. The record is from RNAcentral.